Callorhinus ursinus (northern fur seal) is the source of this 171-nucleotide non-coding RNA. The record is from RefSeq and is a predicted model, not a curated record. NCBI's taxonomy places the organism in Eukaryota, Metazoa, Chordata, Mammalia, Carnivora, Otariidae.
GUUCCCCUUUACGGUCCUCGUGGAAAUCAGCUCCGUCCACUGCCUCAGGUGUUCUUCAGUGGUCCACAUCUUGUAGAGUCUGGUGAAUCUACAACCAGGUAAAGGCACCAUUCACAUGAAUGAACUCACUGGAUUUUCACAGCGACCUUAUGCAUAGGGAUGAUCUCUGCU